This 443-nucleotide ribosomal RNA is filed under the name uncultured bacterium. RNAcentral's name for it is "partial 16S ribosomal RNA". It matches the Rfam family "Bacterial small subunit ribosomal RNA", at positions 338 to 795 of the family's 1533-position model. The record is from RNAcentral.
CCUACGGGAGGCAGCAGUGGGGAAUAUUGGGCAAUGGGCGCAAGCCUGACCCAGCCACGCCGCGUGAGGGAAGACGGCUUUCGGGUUGUAAAAUUCUUUUUUCAGGGACGAAGCCGGUGACGGUACUUGCGUAAUAAGCCACGGCUAACUACGUACCAGCAGCCGCGGUCAUCCGGGGGUGGCAAGCGUUAUCCGGAUUUCCUGCGUGUAACGGGCGUAUAGGCGGGACCGUAAGUCAAAUGUGAACAUCACGGGCUCAACCUGUGGCCUGCAUUUGAAACUGGCGGUCUUGAGUACAGGAGAGGCAGGCGGAAGGCCGAGUGGAGCGGUGAAAUGCGUAGAUAUUAGGAGGAACACCGGUGGCGAAGGCGGUCUGCUGGACAGCGACUGACGCUGAGGCGCGAAAGCGUGGGGAGCAAACAGGAUUAGAUACCCGGGUAGUC